GCCCACGACACCUUGCUUAGCCACACCCUCAAGGGAACUCAGCAGUGAUAAACAUUAAGCCAUAAGUGAAAACUUGACUUAGCCAAAGCUAAGAGGGCCGGUAAAACUCGUGCCAGCCACCGCGGUUAUACGAGAGACCCAAGGUGAUAGACCUCGGCGUAAAGAGUGGUUAGGAAAGAACUAAAACUAAAGCCGAACAUCUUCAGAACUGUUAUACGUAUUCGAAGGCGAGAAGAUCAACUACGAAAGUGGCUUUAUAACC
This 262-nucleotide ribosomal RNA is filed under the name Nannoperca variegata. Its description in RNAcentral is "partial 12S ribosomal RNA". The record is from RNAcentral. Lineage: Eukaryota; Metazoa; Chordata; Actinopteri; Centrarchiformes; Percichthyidae.